RNAcentral lists this ribosomal RNA (349 nucleotides) under Ethusina macrospina. Its description in RNAcentral is "partial 12S ribosomal RNA". Lineage: Eukaryota; Metazoa; Arthropoda; Malacostraca; Decapoda; Dorippidae. The record is from RNAcentral.
ACUAAAAUAAACGCUAUAGCCUGAGUAUUAAAAGAUAUGUUCUUAAAAUUUAAAGAAUUUGGCGGUAACUUAGUCUUGUCAGGGGAAUCUGUUUUUUAAUCGAUAGACCACGAAAGAUCUUACUUAGGCUUAGAGCUUGCAUACCGUCAUUAUCAGAUAAUUUUUAAAGGGUAAAUUAUUAUGUAGGGGGUUCCAGCUAAAUUAGAUCAAGGUGCAGCCGAUGCUUAAGUUAAAGUGGAUUACAAUAAAUUUUAUUUAUGACGGAAGGGGAGGGGAAGCCGACCCGGAAGGAGGAUUUGAUUGUAUUGCGAUUUUAACAAGGUUGGAAGAUAUAAGCUCUAAGUUAUGU